UACGUAGGGUGCAAGCGUUGAUCGGAAUUACUGGGCGUAAAGCGUGCGCAGGCGGUUUUGUAAGUCUGUCGUGAAAGCCCCGGGCUCAACCUGGGAAUUGCGAUGGAGACUGGCUUACUAGAGUGCGGUAGAGGGGGGUAGAAUUCCACGUGUAGCAGUGAAAUGCGUAGAGAUGUGGAGGAACACCGAUGGCGAAGGCAGCCCCCUGGGUCAAGAUUGACGCUCAUGCACGAAAGCGUGGGGAGCAAACAGG
RNAcentral lists this ribosomal RNA (253 nucleotides) under uncultured bacterium. Its description in RNAcentral is "partial 16S ribosomal RNA". It matches the Rfam family "Bacterial small subunit ribosomal RNA", at positions 524 to 776 of the family's 1533-position model. The record is from RNAcentral.